CUGAACGCUGGCGGCAUGCUUUACACAUGCAAGUCGAACGGUAACAGGCCGCAAGGUGCUGACGAGUGGCGAACGGGUGAGUAAUGCAUCGGAACGUGCCCAGUCGUGGGGGAUAACUACUCGAAAGAGUAGCUAAUACCGCAUACGAUCUAUGGAUGAAAGCGGGGGACCGUAAGGCCUCGCGCGAUUGGAGCGGCCGAUGUCAGAUUAGGUAGUUGGUGGGUAAAGGCUCACCAAGCCAACGAUCUGUAGCUGGUCUGAGAGGACGACCAGCCACACUGGGACUGAGACACGGCCCAGACUCCUACGGGAGGCAGCAGUGGGGAAUUUUGGACAAUGGGCGCAAGCCUGAUCCAGCAAUGCCGCGUGCAGGAAGAAGGCCUUCGGGUUGUAAACUGCUUUUGUACGGAACGAAACGGCUCUGGUUAAUACCCGGGGCUAAUGACGGUACCGUAAGAAUAAGCACCGGCUAACUACGUG
Molecule: ribosomal RNA, 480 nt
Filed under: uncultured bacterium
Lineage: Bacteria
Description: partial 16S ribosomal RNA
Rfam family: Bacterial small subunit ribosomal RNA
Source: RNAcentral